GGAUGUGAGGUCAUCUGGCUGCGACAUCUGUCAGCCCAUUGAUCACCAGGGUUGAUUCGGCUGAUCUGGCUGGCUAGGCGGGUGUCCUCUGCCUCCCUCACGGCUCCAUGUGUGUCCCUCCCGAAGCUGUGUGCUCCGUUGAAGAAGCUGGCCUUCCCUGAAUAGAGACUGACCAGUCUUCGGUCGAGAGUAUAGAAGUAGAUGUACUGCCCUGCUAAAACCUCCAGACAAGCUCUCAAGGUCCAGAUAGCAGAGAUAGUAAUAAAUUAAAACAAUAUAUUUGCAAGUGGUAAGUAAACU
This is an unclassified non-coding RNA of Erinaceus europaeus (western European hedgehog), 300 nucleotides long. Its record names the gene 7SK. It matches the Rfam family "7SK RNA". From Rfam's summary of the family: 7SK was discovered as an abundant small nuclear RNA in the mid-70s but a possible function has only recently been suggested. The record is from Ensembl. NCBI's taxonomy places the organism in Eukaryota, Metazoa, Chordata, Mammalia, Eulipotyphla, Erinaceidae.